AGCGAACGCUGGCGGCAGGCUUAACGCAUGCAAGUCGAACGGUCCUUCGGGAUAGUGGCGGACGGGUGAGUAACACGUGGGAACGUACCCUUAGGUUCGGAACAACACAGGGAAACUUGUGCUAAUACCGGAUAAGCCCUUCGGGGGAAAGAUUUAUCGCCUUUGGAGCGGCCCGCGUCUGAUUAGCUUGUUGGUGAGGUAAUGGCUCACCAAGGCUACGAUCAGUAGCUGGUCUGAGAGGAUGGCCAGCCACACUGGGACUGAGACACGGCCCAGACUCCUACGGGAGGCAGCAGUGGGGAAUCUUGCGCAAUGGGCGAAAGCCUGACGCAGCCAUGCCGCGUGGAUGAUGAAGGUCUUAGGAUUGUAAAAUCCUUUCACCGGGGACGAUAAUGACGGUACCCGGAGAAGAAGCCCCGGCUAACUUCGUGCCAGCAGCCGCAGUAA
RNAcentral lists this ribosomal RNA (447 nucleotides) under uncultured bacterium. RNAcentral describes it as "partial 16S ribosomal RNA". It matches the Rfam family "Bacterial small subunit ribosomal RNA", at positions 29 to 523 of the family's 1533-position model. The record is from RNAcentral.